Molecule: long non-coding RNA, 248 nt
Filed under: Carica papaya (papaya)
Lineage: Eukaryota; Viridiplantae; Streptophyta; Magnoliopsida; Brassicales; Caricaceae
Description: long non-coding RNA (CPAP_LNC014552)
Source: RNAcentral
UAUUGGUAGAAGGAAGGAAGAUGGAAAUGGGAGGUACGGUGAAAAUUUCAGUUGCGUAGGUGUAGUGUGAGUUGUAAAUUGUUUGCAGGUUGCGGAGUCCGUAGGUGGCGUGAUGGAGCUGAGAGGUGGAGGUAGGCAGUGGAGUAUGUGACUGUUCAGUACGUUCGCGGAGGAGGCCGUGGGAAGGGAGAGGAUGGCGACGUUUGGGGCGUACGAGAAAUCCGUGGGAGAGAGCGAAGGUUGUGAGA